This is a non-coding RNA of Arachis ipaensis, 753 nucleotides long. The record is from RefSeq and is a predicted model, not a curated record. NCBI's taxonomy places the organism in Eukaryota, Viridiplantae, Streptophyta, Magnoliopsida, Fabales, Fabaceae.
CUUCGCCCUGCACCCCACAGCCUCGCAGCCCCUCAGCGGCGCAGCCACCGCAGCCCCUACACAGACACAGCCUCCACCGCCACCGUAGAAGAUCCGUCGCCGUCGGAAUCCCAGCUUCUUUUCGUUCCAGAUCAGUGCUUUCUUUAUCAGAUUCCCUUCGCGCAGCUGAACCUUCGAGAACCUUCCAGUCCCUUUCCGCAACACCGUCGACCACUACCCCUACGCCUACUUCCUCUACACCCCUUUCCUCAUCCUUUCCUCCGCCGCAUCCCGCCUCCUCCGCCAACCCUGGGGAUCCGCUGCUCCUCCCGCCUCCGCGCCGAGUCGGAUCCCCGCGGAAUCGGUGAGUUUGGUCGACGAGUUAGGUUAGAGUGUGUUGUCUGGUUGCGACUGCGAGGCUUGUGGCGGUGUGGGUUCCGACUGCCCUUGUUUGGGCUUGGGUGUGCUGGAUGACGUGGGCAGUGAGUGCGGGCCGGGAUGUGGGUGCGGACCAGAGUGCGGAAACCGGUCGAUUCAGAAUGGGGUUGCUGUUCGGGUGAAGAUUGUGAGGGAUGCAAGGAAAGGGUGGUGUUUGCAUUCUGACCAGUGGAUUCGGAAAGAGGAGUUCUUGUUUGAGUAUGCAGUUUUGGUUUCUAGACAGUUUGUGGAUAUGACUCGCAUGAGAAUGAAGGUCUUCUAGCAGCAUUUCCCAAGUUGAUAGGAACUGGAAAACAACACACGUAUGUUGAGACUGAGAAUGUGCGUUAUGUUUAC